AGAGUUUGAUCCUGGCUCAGGACGAACGCUGGCGGCGUGCCUAAUACAUGCAAGUCGAGCGGACGAAUCGAAAGCUUGCUUUUGAUUCGUUAGCGGCGGACGGGUGAGUAACACGUGGGCAACCUGCCCUGUAGACGGGGAUAACACCGAGAAAUCGGUGCUAAUACCGGAUAACACGAAAUGUCGCAUGACGUUUCGUUGAAAGACGGCGCAAGCUGUCGCUACAGGAUGGGCCCGCGGCGCAUUAGCUAGUUGGUGAGGUAACGGCUCACCAAGGCGACGAUGCGUAGCCGACCUGAGAGGGUGAUCGGCCACACUGGGACUGAGACACGGCCCAGACUCCUACGGGAGGCAGCAGUAGGGAAUCUUCCGCAAUGGACGAAAGUCUGACGGAGCAACGCCGCGUGAGCGAAGAAGGCCUUCGGGUCGUAAAGCUCUGUUGUUAGGGAAGAACAAGUAACGCAGUAACUGGCGUUACCGUGACGGUACCUAACGAGAAAGCCACGGCUAACUACGUGCCAGCAGCCGCGGUAAUACGUAGGUGGCAAGCGUUGUCCGGAAUUAUUGGGCGUAAAGCGCGCGCAGGCGGUUCCUUAAGUCUGAUGUGAAAGCCCACGGCUCAACCGUGGAGGGUCAUUGGAAACUGGGGGACUUGAGUGCAGAAGAGGAGAGCGGAAUUCCACGUGUAGCGGUGAAAUGCGUAGAGAUGUGGAGGAACACCAGUGGCGAAGGCGGCUCUCUGGUCUGUAACUGACGCUGAGGCGCGAAAGCGUGGGGAGCAAACAGGAUUAGAUACCCUG
Molecule: ribosomal RNA, 800 nt
Filed under: uncultured bacterium
Lineage: Bacteria
Description: bacterial SSU rRNA
Rfam family: Bacterial small subunit ribosomal RNA
Source: RNAcentral